RNAcentral lists this ribosomal RNA (440 nucleotides) under uncultured bacterium. Its description in RNAcentral is "bacterial SSU rRNA". It matches the Rfam family "Bacterial small subunit ribosomal RNA", at positions 338 to 795 of the family's 1533-position model. The record is from RNAcentral.
CCUACGGGUGGCAGCAGUGGGGAAUAUUGCACAAUGGGGGAAACCCUGAUGCAGCCAUGCCGCGUGUGUGAAGAAGGCCUUCGGGUUGUAAAGCACUUUCACCGGUGAAGAUAAUGACGGUAACCGGAGAAGAAGCCCCGGCUAACUUCGUGCCAGCAGCCGCGGUAAUACGAAGGGGGCUAGCGUUGUUCGGAAUUACUGGGCGUAAAGCGCGCGUAGGCGGAUAGAUAAGUCAGAGGUGAAAUCCCGGGGCACAACCCCGGAAUUGCCUUUGAUACUGUUUAUCUUGAGUGCAGAAGAGGUAAGUGGAAUUCCGAGUGUAGAGGUGAAAUUCGUAGAUAUUGGGAAGAACACCGGUGGCGAAGGCGGCUACCUGGCUCGAUACUGACGCUGAGGCGCGAAAGCGUGGGGAGCAAACAGGAUUAGAUACCCUCGUAGUC